AUUGAACGCUGGCGGCAGGCCUAACACAUGCAAGUCGAGCGGUAACACAGAGAGCUUGCUCUCGGGUGACGAGCGGCGGACGGGUGAGUAAUGUCUGGGAAACUGCCUGAUGGAGGGGGAUAACUACUGGAAACGGUAGCUAAUACCGCAUAAUGUCGCAAGACCAAAGAGGGGGACCUUAGGGCCUCUUGCCAUCGGGAUGUCGCCCAGAUGGGAUUAGCUAGG
This 225-nucleotide ribosomal RNA is filed under the name uncultured bacterium. RNAcentral describes it as "partial 16S ribosomal RNA". It matches the Rfam family "Bacterial small subunit ribosomal RNA", at positions 30 to 249 of the family's 1533-position model. The record is from RNAcentral.